RNAcentral lists this ribosomal RNA (121 nucleotides) under Rhodophyllus sp. K31. RNAcentral describes it as "partial 5.8S ribosomal RNA". It matches the Rfam family "5.8S ribosomal RNA", at positions 1 to 120 of the family's 154-position model. From Rfam's summary of the family: 5.8S ribosomal RNA (5.8S rRNA) is a component of the large subunit of the eukaryotic ribosome. It is transcribed by RNA polymerase I as part of the 45S precursor that also contains 18S and 28S rRNA. Functionally, it is thought that 5.8S rRNA may be involved in ribosome translocation. Lineage: Eukaryota; Fungi; Basidiomycota; Agaricomycetes; Agaricales; Entolomataceae. The record is from RNAcentral.
UACAACUUUCAACAACGGAUCUCUUGCGUCUCGCAUCGAUGAAGAACGCAGCGAAAUGCGAUAAGUAAUGUGAAUUGCAGAAUUCAGUGAAUCAUCGAAUCUUGAACGCACCUGCGCUCUG